CCUACGGGGAGCAGCAGUGGGGAAUAUUGGGCAAUGGGCGCAAGCCUGACCCAGCAAUGCCGCGUGAAGGAAGAAGGCUUUUGGGUUGUAAACUUCUUUGACAGGGGAAGAGCAGAAGACGGUACCCUGAAAACAAGCCACGGCUAACUACGUGCCAGCAGCCGCGGUAAUACGUAGGUGGCAAGCGUUGUCCGGAUUUACUGGGUGUAAAGGGCGUGUAGCCGGGAAGGCAAGUCAGAUGUGAAAUCUGGAGGCUCAACCUCCAAAUUGCAUUUGAAACUGUUUUUCUUGAGUACUGGAGAGGCAGACGGAAUUCCUUGUGUAGCGGUGAAAUGCGUAGAUAUAAGGAGGAACACCAGUGGCGAAGGCGGUCUGCUGGUCAGCAACUGACGGUGAGGCGCGAAAGCGUGGGGAGCAAACAGGAUUAGAUACCAUUGUAGUC
RNAcentral lists this ribosomal RNA (442 nucleotides) under uncultured bacterium. RNAcentral describes it as "partial 16S ribosomal RNA". It matches the Rfam family "Bacterial small subunit ribosomal RNA", at positions 338 to 795 of the family's 1533-position model. The record is from RNAcentral.